Molecule: long non-coding RNA, 350 nt
Filed under: Rattus norvegicus (Norway rat)
Lineage: Eukaryota; Metazoa; Chordata; Mammalia; Rodentia; Muridae
Description: long non-coding RNA NONRATT032117
Source: RNAcentral
UCAACCCCAGAACACAAAUCACGUCUUGGCCGACAGAAGAUACUCAAGGGGAUUCAACCAAACAUUUGUCGGCGAUGUUAAAGAGCGAUCACAACAUCAGCAAAGCUCAUAAACGCUGAAAGAUGAAAGAGAAAUGCUGUCACUUAAAAACAGAACCGGUCUUUAAAACAAAAAGAGAGGGACAGAACUACAAUUCCUAUCUUUGCCAAAUAACCCCCACCCCCAGGCAAUGUUAUGAGGACAUUUUUAAUAACAGAGAAAGGCAAGUCAUAGGUGGACACAACCACCUUUGUGUUUUGCAAAACAACUCAACUUGGCAUUUAAUGGAGGCCGACUUAAUGAAUGACUGA